GGUGCCCGGUCGCCGCCCCCUCCGCCCGCAGUUCCCGAGGCCUGAGCCUCCGCGAGCCGGGAUAGGACCGAGUGGCGGGGCUCGGAGCCGCCUCGGCAGGAGCGGCCCUUCCCUCCCUGCAGGGACUCCAGUCCUCGCGGGUCCCGCUGCCCCGACUGCGGACGGAGUGGAUAGGGCGCACCUCCUCACACUCGCUUCCUGGGGUCGCGAACUUCCCGGGCCCCACGGUCCCUGCCACCUCUUCCAAAUGCUCGAGGACUACGCACUUCUACAAGUGAGGUUAGAAAAUAUCCAGAAAAAAUUGUGAAUAAAUCAGAGGAGAAAUGGACAUUACCCAGAUGUCAGGCUUGAAGCUUCAUAAAGUAACUGAAGAGAAUUUGGAAAACAAUGAGUCUGGACCUGGUUGUCAGCUCUGUCUGCACUUUGGCAAGAAGAAAUGUGGGUCUCUUUAAAUGUGACCAAAGAAGCAUGAUUUACCUUAAAUUGAUGGAGAGGAUACAGUGGAGGAUUCAGAGGUUGUAGAAGAUGGUGGAGUCUCUAGAUGGAAGGAAGCUGGGUCUCUGAAUCACAAAGUGAAAGACCACUCACCAAACGCCUUAUUGGACAAUGACAUGAAUGAGAACUAAAACCUUUAUAACUGUAACUCGCUAAUAGUUGGGGUUGAUUGUUAUGAUAGCUAGUCUACCUAGACCAAUAGAGCCAAUUCCUAAUAAUAUCAUCUCGGAAGGGUAGGAUGAAGCCUGAUUAUGCAAAGCGAUGAAAAUGACAUAUAUUGAGUAUCAAGGAAAAUUGAAAUCUUUGACAAAGUGGAAUUGCCAUCUCUGAAAACAGUUCUUUUAACUAAAAUACGCCAAUGUAUUAGCAAUUCUUCUUUGAACUAAAUAGAUUGGCACUUUUUGGACCUGAGAUGUGAAACUCUGCCCUAAGUUAGGAUUCAUCUUUCAAUUCAAACAGCAGUGUCAAUAGGAAAGCAAGUUGGCUGUUUGUGCUUAGCACCACCUGGCUGCAGUUACAUCACUCAGCACUAAACAUGCUGGCUGUGUCAGAUUUGAGUACUGUCAUUCUGAUGAAGUGGGGAGUGUGUUGCCCUGGUAGGAAGCCUUUUAAAUUGAAUGACAAGGUUUUUCUUAUUUGUUACAUCCCCAGGCCAUUGUCAAAUCAUAUAAUGCCAGCCCAGGAAAGUAAUUACAGAACUGUUGUGAGGCUGUUAGCAGCUGCUUUUCAUUUUUCCCCAUUGUGACUGGGAUGUGGUGGAGAAAAAUUGGGAUGACUAAGAACCACAACAUAAAUGCCACCCAAUCUGCUGGCCAGUCACAUAUGGCACUUACUUUCAACCAAAGGGAAAAGAGGAGGCCCCUGAAAUGUCGUUAGAUGUAAGAGCUGAAUAUAAUGCAGAAUCUACAGCAAAUUAUCACAGAACAAGGUGUGAGGAUAGGUGGAUUCCAUUUAUUAAAGCGUUAUGGAAAUCAUUAGGCCACAAAGUCUAAUUUCUAAAAACAAAAUUCUGUGUUGAUCCCAUUAAGAAAUCCCUCUUCCUCCUAGUUGCUACUUUUCUUUUAGCAUUUUCCUUAUUUUUGUGUAAGAAUUACAGUGACCCUUUGGUUAAUAACAUGUUACUCAAAGUUUCCAACAAUAAAUUUAGAUUCUCAUAAAAAAGCAACUGCUAAGAUAUAUGAAGGGGAAAUCAACAUUAUUUAACGUGUUUUAAUCUUACCAUAUUACCUUAAUUUGAUUCUUUGUAAUAAGAACCUUAUAAGUUAUCCAGUACUUAUUUUCAAAGUUAAUUUAUUUCCUAAACUCCAGUUUGUGAAGAAUGGCAGACAUUUGAUAAGCUGAUUUAAAGUAAAAACAGGUAUGUAUUGUUUUAAAGUUAUAACUGCUUAAAGUUUAAUGGAAACUUCUUAAAACCCCUAAUACUACUAAAUGCUGUAUUUCUAAUCAGGUGACAAUAUAAUCAUGAUGAACCUUAAGUGAUUACUCACUGUUUAUUUUCUUUGAAUGAAAUUGUUUAACUGGAAGCUAGUAAGUUAUUAUGUGCACAUACAAUUCAUUCUUGUUCUGAAAGUCAUUGCUUUCCUUUCCUUGGCUACUGAGAUACAAUAAAUACAUUUGUAUGUCUUUUAAAAAUUGCAGCAGGCAGUUGCUUCCCUAUACACUAGGCAAUAUCCCUUCCACUCAGAAUUGGAACUCUUUUGAAAAAAUAAUUUAUUUGCAAAUGAUGAAAGUGUUCAGAGGCUUGAGAUCCAACAACAUCCCAAAUGAAAAUAAUUAGAAUUUGUGGUAAAGAUAAGAGUGAGAUUUGAAACCUGUCGGUACAUAUCACCAAGAAGAAAUAAAUUAUGGCUUGUCAAAAA
Cercocebus atys (sooty mangabey) is the source of this 2354-nucleotide long non-coding RNA. RefSeq lists it as uncharacterized. The transcript has 4 exons. The record is from RefSeq and is a predicted model, not a curated record. NCBI's taxonomy places the organism in Eukaryota, Metazoa, Chordata, Mammalia, Primates, Cercopithecidae.